ACUAUUUUGGCAGAAAAUUGUAAUGAUUUUAGAAUUCAUGUAUAUAUAUAUUAUUUAAUAUAUAAAUAGUA
Molecule: transfer RNA, 71 nt
Filed under: Junonia oenone
Lineage: Eukaryota; Metazoa; Arthropoda; Insecta; Lepidoptera; Nymphalidae
Description: tRNA-Leu
Source: RNAcentral